GCGUCAGUGGUUUAGUGGUAAAAUCCAUCGUUGCCAUGUGAAACAUUCGAUGGGCCCCGCGUUCGAUUCGCGGCUGACGCA
RNAcentral lists this transfer RNA (81 nucleotides) under Schizothecium vesticola. Its description in RNAcentral is "tRNA-Gly". It matches the Rfam family "tRNA". Rfam says of the family: Transfer RNA (tRNA) molecules are approximately 80 nucleotides in length. Their secondary structure includes four short double-helical elements and three loops (D, anti-codon, and T loops). Further hydrogen bonds mediate the characteristic L-shaped molecular structure. tRNAs have two regions of fundamental functional importance: the anti-codon, which is responsible for specific mRNA codon recognition, and the 3' end, to which the tRNAs corresponding amino acid is attached (by aminoacyl-tRNA synthetases). tRNAs cope with the degeneracy of the genetic code in two manners: having more than one tRNA (with a specific anti-codon) for a particular amino acid; and 'wobble' base-pairing, i.e. permitting non-standard base-pairing at the 3rd anti-codon position. The record is from RNAcentral. Lineage: Eukaryota; Fungi; Ascomycota; Sordariomycetes; Sordariales; Schizotheciaceae.